This 292-nucleotide ribosomal RNA is filed under the name uncultured Alphaproteobacteria bacterium. RNAcentral's name for it is "partial 16S ribosomal RNA". The record is from RNAcentral. Lineage: Bacteria; Pseudomonadati; Pseudomonadota; Alphaproteobacteria.
GGACUACCCGGGUUUCUAAUCCUGUUUGCUCCCCACGCUUUCGCGCCUCAGCGUCAGUUUCGAGCCAGUAAGCCGCCUUCGCCACUGGUGUUCUUGCGAAUAUCUACGAAUUUCACCUCUACACUCGCAGUUCCACUUACCUCUCUCGAACUCAAGACAAACAGUAUCAAAGGCAGUUCCAAGGUUGAGCCUUGGGAUUUCACCCCUGACUGAUUCGCCCGCCUACGCGCCCUUUACGCCCAGUAAAUCCGAACAACGCUAGCCCCCUUCGUAUUACCGCGGCUGCUGGCAC